UUCCUUGAGGAGUGGCUUCCGGAGCUAACGCGUUAAGUCGACCGCCUGGGGAGUACGGCCGCAAGGUUAAAACUCAAAUGAAUUGACGGGGGCCCGCACAAGCGGUGGAGCAUGUGGUUUAAUUCGAUGCAACGCGAAGAACCUUACCUACUCUUGACAUCCAGAGAACUUAGCAGAGAUGCUUUGGUGCCUUCGGGAACUCUGAGACAGGUGCUGCAUGGCUGUCGUCAGCUCGUGUUGUGAAAUGUUGGGUUAAGUCCCGCAACGAGCGCAACCCUUAUCCUUUGUUGCCAGCGGUUCGGCCGGGAACUCAAAGGAGACUGCCAGUGAUAAACUGGAGGAAGGUGGGGAUGACGUCAAGUCAUCAUGGCCCUUACGAGUAGGGCUACACACGUGCUACAAUGGCGCAUACAAAGAGAAGCGACCUCGCGAGAGCAAGCGGACCUCAUAAAGUGCGUCGUAGUCCGGAUCGGAGUCUGCAACUCGACUCCGUGAAGUCGGAAUCGCUAGUAAUCGUAGAUCAGAAUGCUACGGUGAAUACGUUCCCGGGCCUUGCACCACCGGCCCGUCAAAA
Molecule: ribosomal RNA, 574 nt
Filed under: Enterobacterales bacterium
Lineage: Bacteria; Pseudomonadati; Pseudomonadota; Gammaproteobacteria; Enterobacterales
Description: bacterial SSU rRNA
Rfam family: Bacterial small subunit ribosomal RNA
Source: RNAcentral